This 434-nucleotide ribosomal RNA is filed under the name uncultured bacterium. Its description in RNAcentral is "bacterial SSU rRNA". It matches the Rfam family "Bacterial small subunit ribosomal RNA", at positions 74 to 518 of the family's 1533-position model. The record is from RNAcentral.
GGAGCGGAAGAUGCAUGUCUAGCGGCGGACGGGUGAGUAACGCGUGAGCAACCUGUCCCUUACAGGGGGAUAACACAGCGAAAGUUGUACUAAUACCGCAUAAGACCACGGUAGGACAUCCGUACAGGGGGUCAAAGGAGUAAUCCGGUAAGGGGUGGGCUCGCGUCCGAUUAGAUAGUUGGUGAGGUAACGGCCCACCAAGUCGACGAUCGGUAGCCGACCUGAGAGGGUGAUCGGCCACAUUGGGACUGAGACACGGCCCAAACUCCUACGGGAGGCAGCAGUGGGGAAUAUUGGGCAAUGGGGGGAACCCGUGACCCAGCAACGCCGCGUGAGGGAAGAAGGUUUUCGGUAUCGUAAACCUCUGUCCUUGGUGAAGAGAGAGAGACGGUAGCCAAGGAGGAAGCCCCGGCUAACUACGUGCCAGCCGCUGC